Molecule: long non-coding RNA, 357 nt
Organism: Salvia miltiorrhiza (redroot sage)
Lineage: Eukaryota; Viridiplantae; Streptophyta; Magnoliopsida; Lamiales; Lamiaceae
Exons: 2
Source: RefSeq, a predicted model, not a curated record
AAUUUCUUGUAGGCUUUGUGGACCAAGGGGAUUAGCACUGCUUUCCCAAGACAGGUUAUGUGAUUAUGAUCUUCAGGCUUUGCCUAUCCAGGUUGAGCAGUUGAUGGAAUGGAAUGAUGUUGAGCGGGUGUUCCUUUGACAUUUCAAGAAAUGUAACCUUGAGUAUACAUCUUCAUAUGUAUAUCUCACACGUUUUCCGCUGCAAAACACUUUGAUUAGGAUAGCUCUAUGAUAUGAAGUUGUGAUACGUGUUAUUGGGUAACCACCUUAAUCAGUUCUCUUUUAUGUGUAUGUUUUAUAAGUAUCCAAAUGAUCAUAUAUGAUCCUAGCUUUUUAUCUAUAAGUGAUAUUUUCAUA